UUAGACCAACUGAGUAGUUGGAAAGAAGUUCUUGGCAAGCUUUCGGGUACAGUUACCCUUCUUCAGGCAUAGGGAAGGGUAUGCCUCCAAGACUCAUUCCUGGACUCUCUGUUAGUCUGAGACUCCAAGGAAUGAGAGAAGCUUUUAGCUAAAAGCCUCAGUUUUCUUGGGAAAAUCAUUUUGUUGUUUUUUUUGGGGGGGGGGUGUUCUUCAUUGUUUUUGAUUUUGGUUGAGACCCAUUGGGUCAAGUCAGAAGGGGUCUGGUGAGGGAUGGCCCACAGUCUUUAACUCAGGGAUAAGGAUUGGAAGCAGGCGGCAGAAAGCAACACCGGGCACACCCAUGCCACAACCUGAGGUGGCCCAGUGUAGGGUUACACAUCGGAGCUACAGUUGGCAUGAGGCAAAUGGAGCCAAAGAACUGGAGCAGUGACUGUGAACCAUAAAGCACUGUCAUCCACGGUUGGGAAGUGGACGGGGUGUGGGGGAGGUGGAGCCCUGAGUCAGCUGCAGCCAUACCAUGAGUACCCCUAUAGGGGCCCACCACACAGAACACUGAACCCAUUCCUUUCAAAGUAUCAUAAAGGUGUGGCAGGAGAAUUGGGGAAGGGCCCUGCCCAGGGCACUCAUGUGAUUAUUCACCAGUCAAGCCACAGUGUGACACCCAGUUUCACUGAAAUGCAUCAGGUGCUUAACUUCCUCUGAAAAUCCCAACCUAAAUCCCUGGGAAGGAGGUGCAUAAAAGCAGCCUCAUGAUGCAAUUAGCCAUAAAAUUGUGAUAGAAUUCAUCAUGUGACCUACCAACAACAGCUCUCUAAUCCUGCUCCAGCACACCAAACCACCCUGCUGCUUCCAGCUACUCCAGGCUACAUGUACCAAAAGCAAAGGACAGCCAGAGCUGUAAUGUUCUUCCUGACAACAGUGAUCACUGCAAAGCUCAGCUCCUACACCCUGAGAAGAAGGGGCAAUGCUGCUGCCAGGUCACUCCGGUACACCAGUAUCCCUUUUCUCUUCAUUUAUGUUCUCCUUUCAAGCAACUUAUUAUCACUUUAGUUCUGGUUUUCUGCUUUUCAAGCACAAAUAACCCUUCUUUGGUCCCCUGUGAAAACAAAUCUGCUACAACCACAAAGUGCUUCUUGAUUUUGUGAUCAUACAGAGAUAUGCAAUUUAUUUAACAAAAUAUACAUUCAAAAUACUUAAGAUUAGGGUGUAUUUGGACUAAGAAUGUCAUUGCCAAGUACAUUUUCAUGAUGAAAAAGAAGGAACCUAAAGAAGUGAGAACUACUGCAUCAGACCAGAAAAUUUCAGGCAUCUAUUAUUUCUUUGACAGCUGUAAACACUUCCUUAUUACCUAGCCUAAUACUAGUUGGAGUCAAGCACUGCUUUUCUAUAGGUGUAACCUUGUUACAUUUGAUUAGCAGAAAGUUUAAUUUUACCAUCUGAUGAAAGUAACCUUUAUCACAGCCUGCCCUUUACAUUUAAGGUCAUUUUCCUACAAUGGAAGGUCAUGGUCAUGGGAUGAAACUUCAACCCCUUGCUAGAUUGCCAUUUGAACCAUCACUUUUGGAAACUAAAAAGCAGUCAGUCAGCUUGGUGGGCUUUUGCCAAUGCAGACAUUUGGUUUAUAAGUCAUUAAAAAAAUAAAUAAACACCUAAGUGGAUUAUAAGAGAGUUUUUGUUAUUUUGCAACAAAGCUCUAUUGAAAGAGAGGGAGGGGAACCUUCUGUUAUGAUUGAGGCUGAUCUCAAAGCUUGUAACUUGUAAAAUAAUUAAAUCCACCAUCUGUAUGUUGGUACCUAUUUUUAGUAGCUUUUCUUUUUUCUUUUUUUUUUUUUUUUGACUGGAAACCAAGUUAACCUACUGCAGCUGCCAGGACAGGGUAAGAGUGGCAGUGUACCACGGGCGUGCAGUACAGCACGUUCUGUUUAGACUGGAGACCCUACCCUGCACAAAAGGCAGACCCACAACCAAAAAAAGUUCUGCUGGUUUUCUGCCUUGAGGAGGAUGUGCUCGCAUGAGCUUUUGACUGUAUUUUGCCCUUCUUUAGAAACUGAAUCAAGUCCCCACCUGGCAAAACCAGAUCACUGAACUUAAGAGAGCAAAAGGCUUGAAGAUUUUACCACCAUACUCAGGAACAUAGGGAUCUGCUGUAGGUGUUAAAACCCUGAAGAAUGAUGUAGUGAGGCUAAUGGUAAGAUGUAAUAAAAAAUGGAUUCAAAGUGUCCCCUACCAGAUGGGAAGCUCUCUCUCAGGGGCAGACUAAGCAAAACUAGUGCCUUGCAUGGAGAUGUUCUGCAGAUAAAGUCCUAGAAAGACCCGCAGGUGAGAAGGUUUGCAUUACGAUGUUAUUUGAAUUACCAAUAAAGAUUCAUAAAAGCA
Long non-coding RNA from Gavialis gangeticus (Gharial), 2376 nucleotides. RefSeq lists it as uncharacterized. The record is from RefSeq and is a predicted model, not a curated record. The transcript is spliced from 2 exons. Lineage: Eukaryota; Metazoa; Chordata; Crocodylia; Gavialidae.